Molecule: long non-coding RNA, 269 nt
Filed under: Homo sapiens (human)
Lineage: Eukaryota; Metazoa; Chordata; Mammalia; Primates; Hominidae
Description: HSALNT0321307
Source: RNAcentral
GAUGGUGAACUAUGCCUGAGCAGGGCGAAGAUCAGUGUUCUGUAUGAAGGCACUGAAGCUCCAUCUCCAUUCUCCAAAUUCCCAAGAAGGGAAACAUUUAAUAAGGGUUGUAAAUGAGACAGAUCAUCAAUGACAUAUAAAAUCAACUACAUAAAAAGUAGGUCUGUUUUCUCUAUAAUUGUAAUAUUACUAUUUUCCUACCAAAAUAGGAAAUUAAAAACAAAAAAAUGCUAUAAUUAUGGCAUAGUUCAUCUGGUGAUUGAUUAUAU